GACGAACGCUGGCGGCGUGCUUAACACAUGCAAGUCGAACGGAAAGGCCCUGCUUGCGGGGUACUCGAGUGGCGAACGGGUGAGUAACACGUGGGUGAUCUGCCCUGCACUUCGGGAUAAGCCUGGUAAACUGGGUCUAAUACCGGAUAGGAGCCAUUUUUAGCGUGAUGGUUGGAAAGUUUUUUCGGUGUAUGAUGAGCUUGCGGGCUAUCGGCUUGUUGCUGUGGUAAUGGCCUACCAAGGCGGCGACGGGUAGCCGGACUGCGGGGGUGACCGGCGAUCUAGAGACUGAGGGGAGGCCGAGGCAGCGACUGGUGGCCGCAGGGCGGAAGAUUGACCGAUCAGCGCAACCCGAGUGCAGCAGGUCCGCGUGGGGGAUGACGGUCUUCGGAUUGUAGAAUAAAUGCGCAAGGGACGAUGCUUGUUUUGACGGUACCUAGAUAGAAAGCCACGGCUAACUACGUG
RNAcentral lists this ribosomal RNA (465 nucleotides) under uncultured bacterium. RNAcentral describes it as "partial 16S ribosomal RNA". It matches the Rfam family "Bacterial small subunit ribosomal RNA", at positions 28 to 507 of the family's 1533-position model. The record is from RNAcentral.